AAAUAAACUUCAAGCACUUUAUUGUGCCUUGGUCUUGAGGGAUGAGCAGGUUAAGAUCAUGUCUUAAUUGGCUCACCCAUCGAAUUCCAGUGGCGGAAUCAAACACGGAUUGUUUUGGUGUGAUAAGUUUUUUCACGUCACCAAUCAGCUCGUAUUAUAUUCUAGCCAAUUCAAACUCCCUCUCUCUUUAAU
This 192-nucleotide unclassified non-coding RNA is filed under the name uncultured Pyronemataceae. RNAcentral's name for it is "sequence contains ITS2". The record is from RNAcentral. Lineage: Eukaryota; Fungi; Ascomycota; Pezizomycetes; Pezizales; Pyronemataceae.